GGGGCGGCGGCAUGGGGGCGGGGAGCGGGAUUUCACAUUUUAUUCCAAAUUAUGAUGUAUUCGGGAGCCAGUUGUUGGCUUGGGUGGGCGGACAGCGCCCGGUCGGCGGCUGCUCUGCCCGGAGGCCCGCCUGUGCCUUGGUGUUUGAGGGGUUCGUUGGUGAGUGGGAGGCUCCUCCAGGCUUGAAGCUGAGCAGCGCUCGCCGAGGCCGGCGCCUUCGAGCCGGUAGCUGCGGGCUUCGGUUCCCGCUGCACUCCGGCUUCGUCCAUUUCUGAUCGCCCAGGACCACACCGCAGCGUAACUGCAGGCCUCUCAGCGAAAAAGGGGGAAAGCAAAGACCCGGGUCUGCAUCCUCU
This 356-nucleotide long non-coding RNA is filed under the name Pan troglodytes (chimpanzee). Its description in RNAcentral is "long non-coding RNA NONPTRT001023". Lineage: Eukaryota; Metazoa; Chordata; Mammalia; Primates; Hominidae. The record is from RNAcentral.